RNAcentral lists this unclassified non-coding RNA (331 nucleotides) under soil metagenome. Its description in RNAcentral is "partial contains 5.8S ribosomal RNA, internal transcribed spacer 2, and large subunit ribosomal RNA". The stretch from base 1 to 119 matches the Rfam family "5.8S ribosomal RNA", at positions 36 to 154 of the family's 154-position model. The record is from RNAcentral.
AUGAAGAACGUAGUGAAAUGCGAUAAGUAAUGUGAAUUGCAGAAUUCAGUGAAUCAUCGAAUCUUUGAACGCACAUUGCGCCCGCCAGUAUUCUGGCGGGCAUGCCUGUCCGAGCGUCAUUUCAACCAUCAAGCCCCGGGCUUGUGUUGGGGACCUGCGUCCGACGCAGGCCCUGAAAACCAGUGGCGGGCUCGCUGUCCACACCGAGCGUAGUAACUAACCUCGCUAUGGAGUGGCGCGGGCGCCUGCCGUAAAACCCCCAAUUUCACAAGGUUGACCUCGGAUCAGGUAGGAAUACCCGCUGAACUUAAGCAUAUCAAUAAGCGGAGGA